GGGGGUGUAGCGCAGCUGGUUAGCGCGCCGGCCUGUCAAGCCGGAGGUCGCGAGUUCAAUCCUCGUCGCUCCCG
Molecule: non-coding RNA, 74 nt
Organism: Spirochaetes bacterium GWB1_48_6
Lineage: Bacteria; Pseudomonadati; Spirochaetota
Source: Rfam